This 395-nucleotide ribosomal RNA is filed under the name uncultured bacterium. RNAcentral describes it as "bacterial SSU rRNA". It matches the Rfam family "Bacterial small subunit ribosomal RNA", at positions 505 to 898 of the family's 1533-position model. The record is from RNAcentral.
GUGUCAGCAGCCGCGGUAAUACGGAGGGUGCAAGCAUUGAUCGGAAUUACUGGGUGUAAAGGGCGCGUAGGCGGCAGGAAAAGUCGGAUGUGAAAUUCCGGGGCUCAACCCCGGAGCUGCAUUUGAAACUAUCCAGCUAGAGGUUAGUAAGGGAAAACGGAAUUCCACGUGUAGCGGUGAAAUGCGUAGAUAUGUGGAAGAACACCGGUGGUGAAGACGGUUUUCUGUGCUAAACCUGACGCUGAGGCGCGAAAGCUAGGGGAGCAAACAGGAUUAGAUACCCUGGUAGUCCUAGCCGUAAACGAUGCAUACUAGAAGUAGGAGGGCUCAACCCUUUCUGUUUCGGAGCUAACGCGUUAAGUAUGCCACCUGGGGAGUACGCUCGCAAGGGUGAA